GCAACCUUGGUGAAAUUGGUAGACACGUCAGGCUUAAAACCUGGUUCUUUACAAAAAGAGUAUCGGUUCAAGUCCGCUAGGUUGCA
This 86-nucleotide transfer RNA is filed under the name Ishige okamurae. Its description in RNAcentral is "tRNA-Leu". It matches the Rfam family "tRNA". Rfam says of the family: Transfer RNA (tRNA) molecules are approximately 80 nucleotides in length. Their secondary structure includes four short double-helical elements and three loops (D, anti-codon, and T loops). Lineage: Eukaryota; Phaeophyceae; Ectocarpales; Ishigeaceae. The record is from RNAcentral.